GAUGAACGCUGGCGGCGUGCCUAAUACAUGCAAGUCGAGCGAACAGACGAGGAGCUUGCUCCUCUGACGUUAGCGGCGGACGGGUGAGUAACACGUGGAUAACCUACCUAUAAGACUGGGAUAACUUCGGGAAACCGGAGCUAAUACCGGAGAAUAUAUUGAACCGCAUGGUUCAAUAGUGAAAGACGGUUUUGCUGUCACUUAUAGAUGGAUCCGCGCCGCAUUAGCUAGUUGGUAAGGUAACGGCUUACCAAGGCAACGAUGCGUAGCCGACCUGAGAGGGUGAUCGGCCACACUGGAACUGAGACACGGUCCAGACUCCUACGGGAGGCAGCAGUAGGGAAUCUUCCGCAAUGGGCGAAAGCCUGACGGAGCAACGCCGCGUGAGUGAUGAAGGUCUUCGGAUCGUAAAACUCUGUUAUUAGGGAAGAACAAAUGUGUAAGUAACUAUGCACGUCUUGACGGUACCUAAUCAGAAAGCCCCGGCUAACUACGUG
RNAcentral lists this ribosomal RNA (497 nucleotides) under uncultured bacterium. RNAcentral's name for it is "partial 16S ribosomal RNA". It matches the Rfam family "Bacterial small subunit ribosomal RNA", at positions 28 to 507 of the family's 1533-position model. The record is from RNAcentral.